UAAGUUCUAGGGUGUGCGCGUUGCCCACAUACGUGUUUGCCGAACAAUAUUGUUACAUUGGGACUUAGGUUAACUCGGUUGGAUUGCAGGCCUUGUACACUUGGUAGCAUGAAUACCGAUAUACCUGUCCCACCUGCUUAUCAGCGGGCCAAAACCUAUCGGGCAAUUAACGGCACUAUUAGAUCUUCA
RNAcentral lists this non-coding RNA (189 nucleotides) under Secundilactobacillus folii. RNAcentral's name for it is "Lactobacillus sp. CRM56-3 6S RNA". It matches the Rfam family "6S / SsrS RNA". Rfam says of the family: E. coli 6S RNA was the first non coding RNA to be sequenced, but its function was unknown until recently. It consists of 184 nucleotides that fold into an extended hairpin structure with a large single-stranded internal bulge. Lineage: Bacteria; Bacillati; Bacillota; Bacilli; Lactobacillales; Lactobacillaceae. The record is from RNAcentral.